AACGAACGCUGGCGGCAUGCCUAACACAUGCGAGUCGAACGAGACCUUCGGGUCUAGUGGCGCACGGGUGCGUAACGCGUGGGAACCUGCCCUUAGGUUCGGAAUAACUCCCCGAAAGGGGUGCUAAUACCGGAUAAUGUCUUCGGACCAAAGAUUUAUCGCCUUUGGAUGGGCCCGCGUUGGAUUAGCUAGUUGGUAGGGUAAAAGCCUACCAAGGCGACGAUCCAUAGCUGGUCUGAGAGGAUGAUCAGCCACACUGGGACUGAGACACGGCCCAGACUCCUACGGGAGGCAGCAGUGGAGAAUAUUGGACAAUGGGCGAAAGCCUGAUCCAGCAAUGCCGCGUGAGUGAUGAAGGCCUUAGGGUUGUAAAGCUCUUUUACCCGGGAUGAUAAUGACGGUACCGGGAGAAUAAGCUCCGGCUAACUCCGUG
This 433-nucleotide ribosomal RNA is filed under the name uncultured bacterium. RNAcentral's name for it is "partial 16S ribosomal RNA". It matches the Rfam family "Bacterial small subunit ribosomal RNA", at positions 29 to 507 of the family's 1533-position model. The record is from RNAcentral.